UUUCAUAUUAUGCUCUAUCGUCACACGAUAUGUCGUCAUAUCCCCCAGCCCUAGGUUGUGUAGAAUAGCAGAUCCAAAGUAGCCAAGGGAGGUGAUAGGUGGAAAUUGCAGAAAAGCAAUACUUUAAUGUAUUGCAGAUGAAGAAUUUCAGGAUACAUGGCUUGUCUUGAAAAACAGAUGGCUGUAGCAGUUUUUAACCUUCAUUUAACCAGAAGCAAUUCUCUGGGUGAAGACAGGGGAGAAGUUUACCAUGAAGUGCUCCACCACUCUAAAAGACCAGGACGGAAUGUACCUGUAUGUUGGGCUGGACAGGGACAGGGAGGUGUUGUAUUACUACCAGCGUGGCUCCAAGCUGACCCCCAGGAAAGGCUACUGGGAGAGAGUGAAGACUGAGGGACCUGUGGACCAACUGACCAUCAUCGUCAGUAACCUGACCAUACAGGACACAGGUGUCUACCUGUGUAUUUACACAAAAUUCAAUGAAACCACGAAUGAAAAUGAAAUCAACCAAGGAAGAGGCUCCACUCUGGUCGUGGUGAAUGACGAUGACCCACAGCUGCCAUGUCCUACAGCUACUGCAGUAACGCUGACCCCCUUUCACCCAGCCAAUGAGAAGCCGUGCGCAUCUGGCGUGGUAAACAUCAUCAUCAUCAUCAUCACCACCACCAGCCUCUUGACCAUCCUACUGUGUGCCAUCUUCCUCAUCUGGCUCCCUCCACGGGUGAAGAGGUGCUGUAACCAGGGAGGAUCCACACCCCAGGUCUUUCCUGACUCGGUCUAUGUAGAAAUGGCCAGGAAUCACAAUUAUCAACCAGACACACAGCAGGUAGAAUCGUACCCCUACUCUGUGUCUACCAAAGGAGGAACUAGGACCACUGAGUAGCUUCUUCAAAUGCCUUUUCUGAAUAUUGCUUCUUUGCUUUCUCAGAAUUGAAAAGCCUGUUCUGCUGUAUUUCACAGUUCUAGCCUCAAUGCAAGUCUUUGUGGUAAAUUGUUUGUGUGUGUCGCACCAUACCAUGCUUGUGUGUGUGAAUAAAAUCUCUAUAUGGAAAGUAUAGGAGGGAACAGCCAAUGUUAUAUUCCAGGGCUAUUCAACUAUAUUCUUACGGGGGCCAGAUGUAAAAAAGGUUAAUUGCAGGGAGCCGGACAUUUUCCACAUGCGACGCACACACACACAAAUAAAGCACUUUUCUUCUAAUGAAAUGUUGCUAAAAGUAGUUAGGGAAGAAGUGGAAAGUGCUCGAUCAACGUGAGUUUAGGUGCAACCAAAAAAGUGCUCCUCAUUGAAAAGGAAAAGGCUCAAUGCUUGCUCACCAUUUUAACUAUUAAAAGAUUCUUAUAAGUAAUUUGGUGAUUUGAAAAUCAUCUGAAAACUAAGUAUCUCAAUAAAUAACAGACAACAACCAUAGUACUUUUCAUUUUGGCACUAAACUUCAGAUUUUGAUGCAGAUAUUUUAUGAAUGGUCAGAAUUGAUCAAAGGGCCAGUCUAAAUUACUGAAUGGGCCGGAUCUGGCCCGUGGGCCGCCAGUUGAAUAUCCCUGUUUUAGUCCAUAAGGUGUACAGUUGAUAGUGAUGGAGGCCUCUCUAUAACUUUUUUCAAUACAUCAGGUCAUAAGAUUUAUAUUCGUUUUAGUUCUGAACAAUAGUGUAGGCUGUGUUGUUCUCUAGUGUUUUUAGGUGAAAAGCUGUUCCUGUGCAUGGUGUCUGCCACAAAGUUAAAAUGAGAACUGUUUGUUAAGACUUUUAUUAUAUUUUAUCAUAGGUACAAAUAUUUUAGCUGCCUAAACUUCAUCAGGUACAUCAGGAUAUAAGCCAUUUUUACAUUACAUUUGAUUAUUCUAUGGUUUUAGUUGAGAUAGCUAGUAGGUUAAAACCAUAAUGAUCUGAGUAAAAAUGUUUCAUGCUGAUACGGAGUAAUGAGUGCAUCUUGUGGUUGGAAAAAUAAUUAUUCAUUUUUACCAAGUGACGUAGUAUUUGUCUUACACUAUGAGUCAGUUUUUUACUUAUGUUUCAACUUCCUAACAGCUUUUUUCACUUUAAAAUAGUUGUAACUGUGUAUUGUAUCUUUUUAAAGGAAGAAAAUAUUCUCACCAUUUGCCUUUUAAUCAAAGUAUUGAUAUAUUCAUGUGUAAUUUAACUUGUGUAUUGAUGUUUAUGUUGUAUUUGUGUAUGUGGUACGCAUUGGUGAUGUUCAGCUAUAUUGUAUGUUUUGGAAAGCUUUCUAUCUCAACCAAGUGAAGACAAGUUCAGACAGGAAACCAGAGUAUUUGCAUCAGCUGAUAUUGCACCAAUUAGAUUCACUCUACCGCUUUCUGACCACCCACCCCAGACUCCACCUGCCUUGUUCGCUGUUUAUUAUUAUUAUUAUUAUUAUUAUUAUUAUUAUUAUGUCAUCAUUACGCAUGCUCUGACAGUGAGCUACCCCAAAGAAGCAGAGCCUAACGCCAAG
RNAcentral lists this long non-coding RNA (2450 nucleotides) under Salmo salar (Atlantic salmon). Its description in RNAcentral is "lncRNA (ENSSSAG00000115993.1)". The record is from RNAcentral. Lineage: Eukaryota; Metazoa; Chordata; Actinopteri; Salmoniformes; Salmonidae.